This 2869-nucleotide long non-coding RNA is filed under the name Amborella trichopoda. RNAcentral's name for it is "long non-coding RNA (ATRI_LNC000613)". Lineage: Eukaryota; Viridiplantae; Streptophyta; Magnoliopsida; Amborellales; Amborellaceae. The record is from RNAcentral.
UUUAAUGCAUCUAUUGCUCUACUAAUAUAAAUGGUUGCAUUUGCUCUACUUAUCUAACUAAUGGUUGCAUUAGUCCUUUAUUUUCUGAAAUCUGAGUACUUGCAUAAUUUUGCUUUACUAUAGAUUGCUUAUAAAAGUGCAUGCUUGAGGAAGGAUAGUGGAUUUUUAUUUGCAUGUUUUGAAUUGUAGGACCAUAGGAAUCGACUGAUUUUAACCACAGUGAUAUGUGAUUUUGUCUGUCACAUGACUAACAUGUUACAUUGAUUUUGGUGUCUCCUAUUGUGCUUUGCUCUAUUUAUAAUCAAAGUGCCAAGACUGAAGGGCUAGAUGUUCACUGUAAUAAAAUUUUACUUAGGACGGCUUAUAUGGGAUGCUCAGUUAUGUGGUGGUGUGUUUGGGAAAUUGGAUGUUGAGGAGUGGUUGUUACUGGAUGGGGCAGUUUUCCUUGUUGGAUAGGGCUUAUGCAUGGGCUGAUGUUGCCAGAAGAAACACAUCUUUACACUGUGGACCUCUCUCUCUCUCUCUCUCUCUCUCUCUCUCUCUCUCUCUCUCUCUCUCUACUACUACUACUACUACUACUACUACUACACACGACGUACGACGUACGUACGUACGUACGUUACGUACGUUACGUUACGUUACGUUACGUACGUACGUACNNNNNNNNNNNNNNNNNNNNCGUUUUCCGUUUUCGGUUAGGUAGGGUACGGUACGUUAGUCGCUAGGUCGGUCGUGUAGUUGUUCGCGAAGAAACGAAACAACACUUACUUACUACUGGUACGUCUCUCUCUCUCUCUCUCUCUCUCUCUUAUCUUUCUUAUCUCUCUCUCACGCACAGACACACACACACACAGAGGUACAGAGCUCGUGUUGCUUUUCUUCUUGUUAGAUAAGGAACAUGCAUUGGCUUGCCCAAAGCACAUCUUUACACCGUGAGACUCUCUCUCUCUCUCUCACACACACACACUCGCACACACAGAGCCACACACAACACACGUAUGUGCAGACUUUUUUGUUGACUGAGAUCUAUGCUUAGUUUGUGAUGAGUUGUAAAUCCUUCUAGCUUAAAAGAACUUCAAGAAGAUGCUACAUGUGAACAUUCUCUAUUGUAAUUCCAAGGGAUCUCCUCGCUCUUCUAUUUUGGCCAUACUGCCUUGCUAUUAGUUAGUAAUUACAUUUUGUGUUACAAACAUGACAAAUAUUUUUGUGCAUGAGGGUCCUGGAAGCUAAUCCAUUGUUGUGGCUCUUGCAAAAGUUUGAAUCAAAUCGAAUUUGGUAUGAGUGUUGUCCCAUAUUUCUUUAUCUAGAAUCUCUUGAGCUCUUUUGGAUUUUUUAUUUAUCCUAAUCCUAGAUGAAUCCCUACACAAAAUGUUUUUGAAUUUAUCUUAUUGCCCAAUACCCUUAUUGUCUGUCUGAACUUGUAAGAUCACUGUUGUUCAUUCUUAAUUAGGGUCUUUGUCCAUUCGGGAGGCUUCCUUUUUCCCCUGCUGGCAGUGUUAAUACUGUAAAGAAUUAAGCAUCGCAUGUUCUUUAGGAGAAUUGGAUGUGGGAGCUUGAGUGACAAAUGUUGGACCCAUUAUUCCCUCCACUAAAUGUGAUUUUGGGAGCAUUGGAUUUACAACUCUCUCUUUGUGAUCUAUACGGAUUUAAGAAUCUGUUUUCCUUUGAAAAAUUUACCGGAUAAUGGAUUUGAAUAAUUAUUGCUCUCUUUUUAUUGAUUUGCAAUUAUAUAUUUUUUUAAUGGAUAUGCAUUGUUGCUUCCUUUUUUUUAAAAUAUGAAGAACAUGGCUUGGCUUGGGAUCCCCAUUCAGUAGCGCAACAUCUUGUCUCCAGAGCAGCAUCACGAACCAUGUUGGGAGAUCCAAGUAACUAAGGCCUUGAUGAUUCUCUGAUUUAGCAAAGAAUACAUAUUGAUUUUUAUUGCUCAUUGCCUUUACAAACCUCUUGGUAGCACAUGAACGGCUUUUUGAUUAUCUUGACCAGGUAAAAGUUGUUUUAGAAGACAGGCUUUAAGUGACCUCCCUUUGCACCCUAUUCCUGUACCACCCGCAAAAUACUCAUUUUGGGGUAAUUUGGAGGAAAAAGUUGAAAAAUGUCGAGCAAGCAGUGUAAAUUUUGCUGUUCAUAAAUUGUCUGAUGGCAGAUAGGAAAUUGUAUGCGAAUUCAUGUCUGAAAAUCUUGGGCCCUUGGGAUCAUAAUUUACAUAAGAAGGCAUAAAAUUGGAAUUUAUCUUGGUGGAUCUCUUAUUUUGUGCAAUGCCUUCAUUUUAUAUAUUGCUGACACUCAAAAAUUUUAUGGGUGGAUUGGACAUUUUGCUUGAAGUUAAAACAAUGACAAGAACAGACGUGAGUGUGCUUAGUAUCUGCUAAUUACUGAAGGAUUGUUAGUUGAAUGAAAAAUUAUCCCCAGAGAAGCCUUAAGCAGCUAUAUAGUUUAGUAUGUUAGCUAGCAUUGCAAAUAACAAAAUAGCACUUAUAAUAUUUGCUUAUUUGUGCACAAAUGUCAUUAUCGAUGUCAUCAGAUUGCUUUGCUUUGAUCUGUAGACCACAUAGUGAACAUGAAUUUGAUGCUUUUGGACACUUUGACCAAAACACCAAAUGUGGCGCUCAUGAACCAGGCUCAUUAUGUUUGGCCUUUUUCUGCUUCAUGAUUAUUGAAAUCCAUCUCUCAGGCUAAAUGUUUUUGUAUUUAUAUAUUUUUGUGAAAUUAAAGUUCACUAGUCCUCCUUGGAGGUGACUAAAUUGUGGAAGUGUUUAUCUACCCUGCCCAAAUUGAGGCAGGUUCUGAAGCAAAUUUUAGGAUGUUGUUUGUUAUAGCCUUUCGAGUGAUACCCAAUUAAUUAAGUCUAAGAAUACAUGUGUAAUUGGCC